Mya arenaria is the source of this 268-nucleotide long non-coding RNA. RefSeq lists it as uncharacterized. The transcript has 3 exons. NCBI's taxonomy places the organism in Eukaryota, Metazoa, Mollusca, Bivalvia, Myida, Myidae. The record is from RefSeq and is a predicted model, not a curated record.
CGGCGUUUACGGAUGGUAAAUAUUAAGAUUAUGCUGCACUACAAGUCUUUCCGGCCUACUUAAAACGCUUUCCAGACGAGUUCUGAAGUGAGUCGGAUUAAUAUUUCGUAAUGCGACGGAAGAAGUCCACACUUUCGCUCCAUAGACCCAAACAAAAACGAACUGGAAAGCAAAAUUGUUUUCUCCAGCAAAAUGCCAUACACAAGUAAUUCUCGAAUGAUUGACACCAUUUCUAUCUCCUAUGAAAUGACCAUUCCGUUCCCCUCUC